This 1300-nucleotide long non-coding RNA is filed under the name Helianthus annuus (common sunflower). Its description in RNAcentral is "sRNA HanXRQr2_Chr17g0807001". The record is from RNAcentral. Lineage: Eukaryota; Viridiplantae; Streptophyta; Magnoliopsida; Asterales; Asteraceae.
AUGUUGAACCGUCAUACUGGAGAAAUAUAUUUGUAUUAAACGGUGCUUUGGAGAGACGCGAUGGUUCCGGUAGGGGUGGUGACCGAAGUUGCAUUUUGUAGUGUUAUAUAAUUAACUUAGUUGUCAACAUAGUUAUUGUUGAUACUUGGCUUUUGGUAGCAGUAAGUAGUAACUUAAUAACUGAUGAUCGCCAAAGUUAAUCAAAGUUGCUACUGAUCACAAUUCCCACCGAUAAACACAUUACUACUGACAAUCAAUUCUCACCAACGAUCAGUAAUAACUUGUGAAACAAGCAACCACCCUCAACCUCGUUACCCCGCUUGGGAUGCUACCUCCGAAUGCCCGACAAGGGUCUCUUUCUCUAGGACCAUGUUAGUUGUUAGGGGCGCGACCCCCUUUGAACCCCAGGUUCAUCAAUGGUGAAAAUCAAAAAACGCCCCAAUGGUGUUCAAAGAUAGAGAGGUCACCAAUGUAAAGGAAACUCAGAGAAACGGAUACAAGAUGUAGGUUGCUACGUUGGCAUGGUGGUAAAAAUGGAGUUGUUUGCAAUGAGUAGAUGAUGAGUUCUAAUUGUUGGACAUGUGUAGGGCUGUAAACGAACCGAACUAACAUUCACAAGGUCUUGUUCGUGUUCGUACGUUAAGGAAUGAACACGUUCAUGAACUGUUCACGAAUGCUUAUCGAACGAGAUUUCUUGUUCUUGUUCGUUCAUUAAAGAAAUGAACGCGUUCACGAAAUUGUGGAUGGCAAAUCAAGACAUUUUCAGCACAUAUGAGAGAAACAAACAAUUAUUCCCCUAGCAAAAUACCAUUUCUGAAUUAUGUUUCACGUCAAGAAAAUGUAUACAACCAUUUGUCCUGGUAGAAACGAGUAAAAACUCAUCGAACAGUAAGCAAAACAUAAAAUACCACGUCCCGUGUGGGUCCACUCGGAAUCAUCAUCAAUUAUUCAAAACAAAAAUCACUACCUCAUUCACUUCUCCUUUUAGUGGUGUGCCUUGGCUUCAGCUUUUCUUUGCGAGUUAGCCUUUGCCUGAAAAAUAUACAAUUCGUGCAUAAAAAGUUGGUAAUGAAUCAGCAACCAGAGUAUGAGUGUGAAUUUUUGACACAACAAGAACCUAACACAAAAUUCACGGGUUUAAGUUUAGUUUAGUCCGAUUCAGGGGCUGAGAAGCUAAAAAGGCUGCGCCUCAGGGGUUUUUGAUAUUUGUUUUUGAGUUGUUGUCAAUUUCAAGCAAUUUAUGUCUCUUUUAUGUGUGUUUUUGAUUAUUUUGAUGAAUUUGAUGAUGAAUUUAGUUAGU